Molecule: ribosomal RNA, 448 nt
Filed under: Pronesopupa boettgeri
Lineage: Eukaryota; Metazoa; Mollusca; Gastropoda; Stylommatophora; Pupillidae
Description: partial 16S ribosomal RNA
Source: RNAcentral
UUGUCUUAUGAUUUUUAUUUAAGAUUUUGCCUGCCCAGUGAAUUUUUUUAACGGCCGCAGUACUCUGACUGUGCUAAGGUAGCAUAAUAAAUUGGCUUUUAAUUGGAGUCGGGAAUGAAAGGGAGAAUGAGGUUAAGCUGUCUUAAAAAAAUAUAUUUUAAUUUACUUAUCAGGUGAAAAUUCCUGAAUACUUAAUAUUAGACGAGAAGACCCUAAGAAUUAUAAUUCAAAAUAAUUAAUAUUAUUUAUCUUUUUGUUGGGGCAACAGAAUUGGAUUAAGGUAAACCAAUUUUAAUAAGGUUAUUUUGACCAUAAUUUUAAGAAAAAUUUUAAUUACCUUAGGGAUAACAGCAUAAUUUAUUUUUUAGAUUGUGACCUCGAUGUUGGACUAGGGACUAUUUGUAAUUAGCCAUUAAAAUAGAUUGUUCUGUUCGAACAUUUUUACCCU